Molecule: non-coding RNA, 111 nt
Organism: Pelobates cultripes (western spadefoot toad)
Lineage: Eukaryota; Metazoa; Chordata; Amphibia; Anura; Pelobatidae
Source: the annotation of a GenBank genome assembly
GCUGGUUGGAGGGGGUGAGGGGCAGUAUUAUACAAUCUUUAUAUAUUUUUAAUAUUACAUAUACAGGUUGUGUAAUACUGCCCCUUACCCCCCUCCAAUCAGCACCUAAAU